UGCUCAAUACAUGCAGUCGAGCGAACAAUGGGAGCUUGCUCCCUGAGGUUAGCGGCGGACGAGUAACACGUGGGCAACCUGCCUGUAAGACUGGGAUAACUUCGGGAAACCGGAGCUAAUACCGGAUAAUUCUUUUCUACUCAUGUAGGAAAGCUGAAAGGCGGCUUCGGCUGUCACUUACAGAUGGGCCCGCGGCGCAUUAGCUAGUUGGUGAGGUAACGGCUCACCAAGGCGACGAUGCGUAGCCGACCUGAGAGGGUGAUCGGCCACACUGGGACUGAGACACGGCCCAGACUCCUACGGGAGGCAGCAGUAGGGAAUCUUCCACAAUGGGCGAAAGCCUGAUGGAGCAACGCCGCGUGAGUGAUGAAGGUUUUCGGAUCGUAAAACUCUGUUGUUAGGGAAGAAUACCCGGGAGAGGAUCCCGGUU
Molecule: ribosomal RNA, 430 nt
Filed under: uncultured Bacillus sp.
Lineage: Bacteria; Bacillati; Bacillota; Bacilli; Caryophanales; Bacillaceae
Description: bacterial SSU rRNA
Rfam family: Bacterial small subunit ribosomal RNA
Source: RNAcentral